CCAAUAGCGUAUAUUAAAGUUGUUGCAGUUAAAAAGCUCGUAGUUGAAUUUCGAGAUCAAAUUGUUGGUCGUGCCUCGGUACGUACUGGUAAUUUUGGUUUCUCCCUUCUGAAGAACCAUGAUGUCAUUAAUUUGGUGUCUUGGGGAAUCAGGACUGUUACUUUGAAAAAAUUAGAGUGUUUAAAGCAGGCUCGCGCUUGAAUACAUUAGCAUGGAAUAAUGAAAUAGGACGUUUGAUUCUAUUUUGUUGGUUACUAGGAUCGACGUAAUGAUUAAUAGGG
RNAcentral lists this ribosomal RNA (281 nucleotides) under uncultured Glomus. Its description in RNAcentral is "partial 18S small subunit ribosomal RNA". It matches the Rfam family "Eukaryotic small subunit ribosomal RNA", at positions 591 to 877 of the family's 1831-position model. Lineage: Eukaryota; Fungi; Glomeromycota; Glomeromycetes; Glomerales; Glomeraceae. The record is from RNAcentral.